UACGGAGGUUGCAAGCGUUGUUCGGAAUUACUGGGCGUAAAGGGAGCGCAGGCGGUUAGGUCAGUCUGAAGUGAAAGCCCGGGGCUCAACCCCGGAAGUGCUCUGGAUACUGCCUAACUUGAGUACGUGAGAGGAGAGCGGAAUUCCAGGUGUAGCGGUGAAAUGCAUAGAUAUCUGGAGGAACACCGGUGGCGAAAGCGGCUCUCUGGCACGCUACUGACGCUGAGGCUCGAAAGCGUGGGGAGCGAACGGG
This 253-nucleotide ribosomal RNA is filed under the name uncultured bacterium. RNAcentral describes it as "partial 16S ribosomal RNA". It matches the Rfam family "Bacterial small subunit ribosomal RNA", at positions 524 to 776 of the family's 1533-position model. The record is from RNAcentral.